UGCUCGCUUCGAACAUCAUACCAGUCUCCGUUGUAUCAACAACCAUGAAGGGAGUUAUUGUUUGCAUUCUUGGUACUGUGAUAUUAUUUUUGGUGAGAUCUGCAUCUAGUCAUUGCGAUUCAUUGACUGGUUUACGAGAUGCGAAAUGUACAACAAAGAGCCGAUGGGUGACCACACGUUAUAGAGCAUGCGGGUGAUUGUGGCGAAAACGAUGUACAGUGAGAAAAACUUAUUGGAAUAAAGUAACAUAUUAUUCAUGCAAAGUUCGAUGUAGAGUUGAUGGAGGAUGGAAUACUUGGCACAGCUGGGGUUCAUGGAGCUACUGCAAGCGAAAAAGUGGUUACUCUUGCAUCGAAUACCAAACAAGGAGGCGAUUCCGACUGUGUAAUAAUCCAAGGCCUAAAAUGGAGGGAGAUGUUAUGGAAGCAGUAGACAAAUCGAUACCAUCAGGUCAUGUCUUUUAAAGGUCAAUGGAAAAUGGAGUAAUUGGGGAUCUUGGGAUUCAGUUGGAGGGUGUUUGAAGACUUGUGGAGAAGGUUAAAAAUUGAUGCCCAGAGAACGAUCAUGUUCCAAUCCUCGACCGCAAUGUGGUGGUCACUACUGCUAUGGAACAACACAUAAGUAUAGAAUGCAAUCGUGUUCACUCCCAAAAUGCUGAAGAGAUUUGUAUUGCACAAAAAAUAAAGAAAUUCGAUUCAAAGAAUUUUCACUAUAUCUUU
This is a long non-coding RNA of Saccostrea cuccullata (small rock oyster), 719 nucleotides long. RefSeq lists it as uncharacterized. The record is from RefSeq and is a predicted model, not a curated record. NCBI's taxonomy places the organism in Eukaryota, Metazoa, Mollusca, Bivalvia, Ostreida, Ostreidae. The transcript is spliced from 6 exons.